RNAcentral lists this ribosomal RNA (497 nucleotides) under uncultured bacterium. RNAcentral describes it as "partial 16S ribosomal RNA". It matches the Rfam family "Bacterial small subunit ribosomal RNA", at positions 28 to 507 of the family's 1533-position model. The record is from RNAcentral.
GAUGAACGCUGGCGGCGUGCCUAAUACAUGCAAGUCGAGCGAACGGACGAGAAGCUUGCUUCUCUGAUGUUAGCGGCGGACGGGUGAGUAACACGUGGAUAACCUACCUAUAAGACUGGGAUAACUUCGGGAAACCGGAGCUAAUACCGGAUGAUAUUUUGAACCGCAUGGUUCAAAAGUGAAAGACGGUCUUGCUGUCACUUAUAGAUGGAUCCGCGCUGCAUUAGCUAGUUGGUAAGGUAACGGCUUACCAAGGCAACGAUGCAUAGCCGACCUGAGAGGGUGAUCGGCCACACUGGAACUGAGGCACGGUCCAGACUCCUACGGGAGGCAGCAGUAGGGAAUCUUCCGCAAUGGGCGAAAGCCUGACGGAGCAACGCCGCGUGAGUGAUGAAGGUCUUCGGAUCGUAAAACUCUGUUAUUAGGGAAGAACAUAUGUGUAAGUAACUGUGCACAUCUUGACGGUACCUAAUCAGAAAGCCACGGCUAACUACGUG